This 496-nucleotide ribosomal RNA is filed under the name uncultured bacterium. RNAcentral's name for it is "partial 16S ribosomal RNA". It matches the Rfam family "Bacterial small subunit ribosomal RNA", at positions 28 to 506 of the family's 1533-position model. The record is from RNAcentral.
GAUGAACGCUGGCGGCGUGCCUAAUACAUGCAAGUCGAGCGAACAGAUGAGGAGCUUGCUCCUCUGACGUUAGCGGCGGACGGGUGAGUAACACGUGGAUAACCUACCUAUAAUACUGGGAUAACUUCGGGAAACCGGAGCUAAUACCGGAUAAUAUAUUGAACCGCAUGGUUCAAUAGUGAAAGACGGUUUUGCUGUCACUUAUAGAUGGAUCCGCGCCGCAUUAGCUAGUUGGUAAGGUAACGGCUUACCAAGGCAACGAUGCAUAGCCGACCUGAGAGGGUGAUCGGCCACACUGGAACUGAGACACAGUCCAGACUCCUACGGGAGGCAGCAGUAGGGAAUCUUCCGCAAUGGGCGAAAGCCUGACGGAGCAACGCCGCGUGAGUGAUGAAGGUCUUCGGAUCGUAAAACUCUGUUAUUAGGGAAGAACAAAUGUGUAAGUAACUAUGCACGUCUUGACGGUACCUAAUCAGAAAGCCACGGCUAACUACGU